GUCCUUUAGAUUAGUAUUUAAGGUUUGACCUGCCCAAUGAUAAAGUAUUUAAUGGCCGCAGUAAUUUGACUGUGCAAAGGUAGCAUAAUCAUUAGUUUUUUAAUUGAAAGCUUGUAUGAAUGGUUGGACGAGAUAAAAACUGUCUCUAUUUAAUAUAUAAAACUUAAUUUUUAAGUUAAAAAGCUUAAAUUUUUGUAAAAGACGAGAAGACCCUAUAGAUCUUUAUAUAAUUUUUUUUAGUUUAAUUGAUGAUUUUUUAUUUAAUUAUAAAAAUUUAUAUUUUAUUGGGGUAAUAAAAAGAUUUGAUUAAUUCUUUUUUAUAUUACAUGAAUUAAUGAAUAAUUGAUCCGUUAUUAUUGAUUAUAAGAUUAAGUUACCUUAGGGAUAACAGCGUAAUUUUUUUGGAGAGUUCUUAUCGAUAAAAAAGUUUGCGACCUCGAUGUUGGAUUAAAAAUUAUUUUAGGCGUAGAAGUUUAAAAUUUUGGUCUGUUCGACCAUUGAAUUUUU
This 507-nucleotide ribosomal RNA is filed under the name Hygrotus inaequalis. Its description in RNAcentral is "partial 16S ribosomal RNA". It matches the Rfam family "Bacterial large subunit ribosomal RNA", at positions 1829 to 2597 of the family's 2925-position model. The record is from RNAcentral. Lineage: Eukaryota; Metazoa; Arthropoda; Insecta; Coleoptera; Dytiscidae.